Molecule: non-coding RNA, 69 nt
Organism: Trichonephila inaurata madagascariensis
Lineage: Eukaryota; Metazoa; Arthropoda; Arachnida; Araneae; Nephilidae
Source: the annotation of a GenBank genome assembly
AUCCCUGUAGCGCAAUGGAUAGCUCGUUGGACCUCUAAUCCAAAGAUAGUUCGAAUCCCACCUGGGAUG